This is a long non-coding RNA of Brassica oleracea var. oleracea, 1594 nucleotides long. RefSeq lists it as uncharacterized. The record is from RefSeq and is a predicted model, not a curated record. NCBI's taxonomy places the organism in Eukaryota, Viridiplantae, Streptophyta, Magnoliopsida, Brassicales, Brassicaceae. The transcript is spliced from 4 exons.
AAGGUUGAACUUGAUUAGGUCUCAAUUACUCCUCCAUCUACGGCGAUUCAGCAUCACCGUCUCUGUCACUGUUAAAACAGAAUCUACUACUUGAUCUCAACUUUUUAUCACCCGUAUCUCUUGAUCUCCUUAUCCUUCUCUUUCUCACUUUCCGAUGAACACAUUUCUCUUCUGCAAUGAAUUUUCUAAUUCACAUCAAAGUCAAUUACUCUCCCGAACUCUCCGUCUCCCUUGCUUACUAUCAAAGCUUGAUGCUUCUGGUAACCAAAAGAACACUUGAAACCUUAUAAACAUGAGAGGGUUGAGACUGAUAUCUAGCAUCUCAUAUACUCUCUGAAUUUAUCUUCUCUCGAAAUCUAUAACCAUCCUCCUCCAAUGCAAUUGAUGUUCACGAUGCAACGUUUGAUGAUCUCCACCUUGGUCGGUUCUCUCAGGUGGUUGUUGACCGGCUCAUCUGGAAUUGAGGAAACAUCAAGAAGAAUGGAGAGUUCAUGGGUUUUACCCUACUGCUUCUAGAUGAAAAGGUUACCUCUACCUCAACUCCACACGGGCGACCCAAUUUUACUUUGACCCGUCCAUUGCUGCUAUUCGAAGUUUUUAGCACAAGUUGUUAGAGUGCUGUCAGAUUUUAAGGAUUUGAGGCCAGAAGGAGUGAAGAGGAAGGCAUUUGUUGAACAGCUUAAGGCUGAUCUUGGUUCUUAUCACGGCUAUAAUGAGUUUCUUAUUGGAACGCUGACUUCACUUUUUAUGUACACUCUUUUGGUUCUCUUUGGGGUAGUGUGAGCUAAUUUUGUUACUCACAUAUGUUGAAUUGGUAUAUUGUUGCAGACGUUUCCUCCUGUUGAAUUCAUGGAACUUCACUUCAAAUUUUAGGACUGUUUCUCUUCAAUGAUUUAACCUUUAAAACCUUUUUCUUUUGAUGAUAUUCAGAUUCUUGAUCUCUGCAACACAAGAGCUGAUCUGUGGAGUGAUCUAUGGAAUCGAUAAGUACGCUGUACGUGGACUGAGGUCAUUAGCUCUUGCAAGACGGACUGUACCUGAGAAAACAAAAACAAAAAAAAAGCUCUUAGGGUCCACAGAAAUUUGUUGGUGGGUUGCCUUUAUCUGAUCCUCCAAGACAUGAUAGUGCAUACACCAUUAGAAGAGCUUUUCAGACCUCGCUGUCAACAUCAAUGAUCACUGUUGAUCACCUUGCUAUUGCCAAAGAGACUCGACCUAAGCUCGGUAUGGGAUCAAAGAGGAUUCAUAGCAUCAGCUUCUCUACUUGGAUAAGAAAUCCAUCCCUUAAAACAAUGUAUGUCUUGCCAAACUCUUUAUCUUUCUGCCGAGGUUUUGUUUUGAAUCGAGGAAACAACAUGUUGCGGCAUGGGAACGUUGGAGACCUGUACGAAGAAUGCUUAGACGUCGUGAAAAUGACAAAUUAGGUGGAAAGCCAAAAUGAGUGAAAAUAUAAGUUUGCUUCUAUUUUUAAUAGAGCUCUUUCGUUUUUUUUUGUUUUUUUUUUUAAUGUUUCCGGGCUUUUUGUAAUACGAAAAAUACUAAGUACUCUUUACCAAUAACUUUUCAAGCUUUUUUGAUAAAAAAAAGUAGGGGU